Molecule: unclassified non-coding RNA, 223 nt
Filed under: uncultured fungus
Lineage: Eukaryota; Fungi
Description: partial contains 18S rRNA, ITS1, 5.8S rRNA
Source: RNAcentral
GCGGAAGGAUCAUUACCGAGUGAGGGCCCUCUGGGUCCAACCUCCCACCCGUGUUUAAUUUACCUUGUUGCUUCGGCGGGCCCGCCUUAACUGGCCGCCGGGGGGCUUACGCCCCCGGGCCCGCGCCCGCCGAAGACACCCUCGUACUCUGUCUGAAGAUUGUAGUCUGAGUGAAAAUAUAAAUUAUUUAAAACUUUCAACAACGGAUCUCUUGGUUCCGGCA